AAGUCGAACGGUAACAGGAAGCAGCUUGCUGCUUUGCUGACGAGUGGCGGACGGGUGAGUAAUGUCUGGGAAACUGCCCGAUGGAGGGGGAUAACUACUGGAAACGGUAGCUAAUACCGCAUAACGUCGCAAGACCAAAGAGGGGGACCUUAGGGCCUCUUGCCAUCGGAUGUGCCCAGAUGGGAUUAGCUAGUAGGUGGGGUAAUGGCUCACCUAGGCGACGAUC
This 226-nucleotide ribosomal RNA is filed under the name Escherichia coli. Its description in RNAcentral is "partial 16S ribosomal RNA". It matches the Rfam family "Bacterial small subunit ribosomal RNA", at positions 59 to 281 of the family's 1533-position model. The record is from RNAcentral. Lineage: Bacteria; Pseudomonadati; Pseudomonadota; Gammaproteobacteria; Enterobacterales; Enterobacteriaceae.